GUCUGUUUGUAGAUAUAAAAAGUCUAGCCUGCCCACUGAUAAAUAAUUUUAAGGGCCGCGGUAUUUCUGACUGUGCAAAGGUAGCAUAAUAGUUAGUUUCUUAAUUAGAAUCUUGUAUGAAUGGUUUGACAAAAAAAAAUCUGUCUUAUAGUUAUUUAUUGAAUUUAACUUUUAAGUGAAAAGGCUUAAAUAAAUUAAAAAGACGAUAAGACCCUAUAAAGCUUAAUAUUAUUUGUAUUAUUUAAUAAAAUUUUUUUAUAUAAAUAUUUGGUAAUAAUUUAUAUUUUAUUGGGGUGAUAAUGAUAAAAUGAUUAUUAACUGUUAAUUGAUUAAAACAAAAAAUAAAUGAAUAUUAAAAUUUAAAUAUGUAAAUGAUCCUAUAUUAAAGAUUAAAAGUUUAAGUUACUUUAGGGAUAACAGCGUUAUUUUUUUUGAGAGUUCUUAUCGAAAAAAAAGUUUGCGACCUCGAUGUUGAAUUAAAAUAUCUAUAUAAUUGUAGCAGUUA
RNAcentral lists this ribosomal RNA (505 nucleotides) under Sesarma sulcatum. RNAcentral describes it as "partial 16S ribosomal RNA". The record is from RNAcentral. Lineage: Eukaryota; Metazoa; Arthropoda; Malacostraca; Decapoda; Sesarmidae.